RNAcentral lists this ribosomal RNA (3388 nucleotides) under Triticum aestivum (bread wheat). RNAcentral's name for it is "partial small subunit ribosomal RNA". The record is from RNAcentral. Lineage: Eukaryota; Viridiplantae; Streptophyta; Magnoliopsida; Poales; Poaceae.
GUGAACACACGAGACGAACACAUUGACCAUCGGCGCUACUUAAAAAGGAAAAGAUAAACAGCAUCCUGCUGCGCGAAGCAAAAGCCGUACCAAACUAGACGUCCAAGCAACCGCUUCCCUCUCUUCUCUUGCUCUGCUCGUCUCCAGUCCACCCUGCUCGCAUCGCACCGACCGAUCCGAUGGACCGCGCCGAUCCCGCGCGGGGCCGCCUCGCCGUGCUCUCCUCCCACCUCCUCGCCGCCGGCGCGGACCCCGCGGCCGCGCUGGGGAGGUCGCCGGCGUCGGCCGCGGCCCCGGGGGCCCGCGCCGGCGUGCUCGCCGUGGUGGACUCGAGGACCGGGAAGCGGUACGAGGUCAAGGUUUCGGAGGACGGCACCGUCCGCGCCACAGACUUCAAGAAGAUUACCACUGGGAAAGAUGACAAGGGUCUUAAGACUUACGAUCCUGGUUAUCUCAACACUGCCCCUGUGCGUUCUUCCAUCUGCUACAUUGAUGGGGAUGAGGGAAUUCUUCGCUACAGGGGUUAUCCAAUUGAGGAGGUGGCCGAAAGCAGUUCGUUUGUUGAGGUCGCCUACCUCUUAAUGUACGGGAACUUGCCCACUCAGAGUCAACUGGCAGGCUGGGAAUUUGCAAUUUCACAGCACUCUGCUGUUCCUCAAGGACUCUUGGAUAUCAUACAAUCAAUGCCUCACGAUGCCCACCCCAUGGGUGUCCUUGCCAGUGCAAUGAGCACACUUUCUGUCUUCCACCCAGAUGCAAACCCUGCCCUUAGAGGGCAAGAUCUGUACAACUCAAAGCAGGUUAGGGAUAAGCAAAUUGUGCGAGUUCUUGGGAAGGCACCAGCAAUAGCAGCUGCAGCCUACCUGAGACUAGCAGGAAGGCCUGCUGUCCUUCCUUCAAAUAAUCUUUCUUAUUCAGAGAAUUUCUUGUAUAUGCUAGACUCUUUGGGUAACAAAGAAUAUAAGCCAAAUCCCCGACUUGCACGGGUUCUAGAUAUCCUUUUUAUUCUCCAUGCUGAACACGAAAUGAACUGCUCAACAGCUGCUGUUAGGCACCUUGCUUCAAGUGGUGUCGAUGUCUUCACUGCUCUUUCUGGCGCUGUUGGAGCUCUAUAUGGUCCACUGCAUGGUGGCGCAAAUGAGGCGGUACUUAAAAUGUUGAAUGAGAUUGGAGCUGUGGAGAAUAUUCCAGAUUUCAUUGAGGGAGUGAAGAACAGGAAACGGAAAAUGUCAGGUUUUGGGCACCGUGUGUAUAAGAAUUAUGAUCCUCGUGCUAAAGUCAUCCGAAAGUUAGCAGAGGAGGUUUUCUCUAUUGUUGGACGGGAUCCUCUUAUCGAGGUUGCUGUUGCUUUGGAGAAGGCAGCACUGUCAGACGAUUAUUUUAUCAAGAGGAAGCUGUAUCCAAAUGUGGAUUUUUACUCAGGCCUGAUUUACAGAGCGAUGGGAUUCCCUACAGAAUUUUUCCCUGUGUUAUUUGCAAUUCCUCGCAUGGCUGGUUGGCUAGCACAUUGGAAGGAGUCACUUGAUGACCCUGACAAUAAAAUUAUGAGGCCUCAACAGGUAUACACGGGCGUUUGGCUGAGGCACUACACCCCUGUGAGGGAACGAGUGGCAUCUAACCAGGGCGAGGAGCUCGGUCAGAUCGCUGCAUCAAACGCAACGAGGCGUCGCCGUGCUGGUUCUUCCCUGUAGAACAGCAGCAGGCACGGAUGCAUGGUGCAGCAUCCAGCCCACGCAAUAAACCAGGCUGCUGUCGUUGCCCCUCACAACGCCGCAGCGGCUCGAGUCCGGGAGCUGUUAUCCUUCUGGUGUCACCAAGACACUUAGCAGUUGCCAUGCAAUAAACUUCUAGUAAAAGGCACGCUGUGGACACUAUCUAUGCACACACUUCCAGUUUCCAGCUUCAUCUCUGCAUGCAUGCAAUGUGAGCUCAUGAUUGGAAAAAAUAAUCAUACUCCCUCCGUCCCAAAAUAAGUCUUAACUUUAGAGGGAGUAGUUGAUGGCAUGUCGGUCUUCGUAAGAGUGUGCAUAUUAGUGCGGUGCGUAGGAUUCGAUCCCUGGCCAGCAAUGAAAAAUCAUGCCAUUUGACCGUUAGUUAACGCGCUAUUUAGUUCUUUUUUACCUUGGGAAAAAGUUCCCUUUUUCAGUUAAAAACGUGUUACUAUUUUAUCGAACCUGGACGGACCAACGGUUGUACCGGUGCUCCAGCAGCAUGUCCGGUUCAUUCGUCGGUCUAGGUUUUCAAAACUAUGCUCUAAUGAUGUUGGAUUUACAAUCACACUGAUGCGAUUUAUGUGCGUGGCGCUGACUGUGCUUCCGUUUGGCCAGACCGGUGGACUGUUCGUUGCUGCUCUUUCGGUGAUGUUCCCUGUAGUUGGCAACGUUCUGGGUGUUGUGUUUGGUCGUUGCAUGGUACUCACUCCGUUCGGAAAUACUUGUCCUAGAAAUGGUUGUAUUUAGACUUAUUUUAGUUAUAGAUACAUCUAUUUUAUCCAUUUGUCAGUAUUUUUGGAUAGAGGAAGUAGGCGGUACUUCAAUGAACUACGUGUGGUUGUUUGUGCGGGUUUGAUUGCCGGGGGUGGUGCCUUCGUGGUCAAACCUGCAAAAUCGCAUACGGAGGACAUGAAUAUAGCAAAGGCGUAGCGGAGCGCGCCAUUCUGUCUAGUUCAUUUUCGUAUCAUAUGGUUACUGUCUUCAGUUUUUUGCUGUUGUAACUUGCUACCUUGCUCUGUUUUAUAUCUCUGUUUUUGGAUCUGUGCAUGCUAUUUCCUUUCUGGAUCACAUCCCAUGUCUUCUUGAGCAAUAGUAAUACACUGAUGCAAUGAGGAGACACACUGCUGACUCUCACUCGUUUGUUCCACCAUUGAUGUUUGUUCCAAGCUUGACCGGGAGCAGUGGGUUAGGUUGGACCAAUGACAGAAGUGGUGAGGCAUUCAUGUGGAAGUUUAUCUCAUUACACUGGACUAGAGUCAACGGCUGUUAACAUGCUUCUUGAUGUCGCCCGUUCCGAAGAAGCAAAGCCAAACAAAUUCCUGCCUCCCCUUGGGCAUCUAAGACCUGCAUGCGUUCUUGUCGAGAGAGGAUUGAGUAUGUAGAUAUUUAUAGAUGUAGAAUAGUAAGAAAGAGUCGCAAAAAAAAAAGCGAGGAAAAUUAUGAGGUGGAAACAUUUAAGAACCUAGAUGCACAUAAGUAAUUAGAGGUACUGCUCCGUCAAAACUUUACUACGAGACUUUGGGCAUGAUAGGUAGGCUGCAUCAACCGAUCAGGAAUGUCACACACACAAGCUAUGACUGUCUGGUUAUCUGUAUGCGCCCACCAUAUGUUAACAUGAGUUGCUCCAUUGCUUACAAUGACUACUCUAGACGACCGUAUAUUAAUAUGAGUUGCUC